This 229-nucleotide ribosomal RNA is filed under the name uncultured bacterium. RNAcentral describes it as "partial 16S ribosomal RNA". It matches the Rfam family "Bacterial small subunit ribosomal RNA", at positions 568 to 796 of the family's 1533-position model. The record is from RNAcentral.
UGCGUAGGCGGAAUAUUAAGUCAGUGGUGAAAUCCUGCGGCUCAACCGUAGAACUGCCAUUGAUACUGAUAUUCUUGAAUGUAGUUGAGGUAGGCGGAAUGUGUAAUGUAGCGGUGAAAUGCUUAGGUAUUACACAGAACACCGAUUGCGAAGGCAGCUUACUAAACUAUGAUUGACGCUGAGGCACGAAAGCGUGGGGAGCGAACAGGAUUAGAUACCCUGGUAGUCC